GACGAACCGUGCGAACGUUGUUCGGAUUCACUGGGCUUAAAGGGCGCGUAGGCGGAAGGUCAAGUCCGAGGUGAAAUCUUUCGGCUCAACCGGAAAAAGUGCCUUGGAUACUGAUCGCCUCGAGGGAGGUAGGGGCAUGUGGAACUUCCGGUGGAGCGGUGAAAUGCGUAGAUAUCGGAAGGAACGCCGGUGGCGAAAGCGACGUGCUGGACCUCUUCUGACGCUGAGGCGCGAAGGCCAGGGGAGCAAACGGG
RNAcentral lists this ribosomal RNA (254 nucleotides) under uncultured bacterium. RNAcentral describes it as "partial 16S ribosomal RNA". It matches the Rfam family "Bacterial small subunit ribosomal RNA", at positions 524 to 776 of the family's 1533-position model. The record is from RNAcentral.